This 718-nucleotide ribosomal RNA is filed under the name uncultured bacterium. Its description in RNAcentral is "bacterial SSU rRNA". It matches the Rfam family "Bacterial small subunit ribosomal RNA", at positions 28 to 740 of the family's 1533-position model. The record is from RNAcentral.
AUUGAACGCUGGCGGCAUGCCUUACACAUGCAAGUCGAACGGCAGCACGGGUGCUUGCACCUGGUGGCGAGUGGCGAACGGGUGAGUAAUACAUCGGAACGUACCUUAUCGUGGGGGAUAACGCAGCGAAAGUUGCGCUAAUACCGCAUACGCCCUGAGGGGGAAAGCGGGGGACCGUAAGGCCUCGCGCGAUUAGAGCGGCCGAUGUGUGAUUAGCUUGUUGGUGAGGUAAAAGCUCACCAAGGCGAUGAUCAGUAGCUGGUCUGAGAGGACGAUCAGCCACACUGGGACUGAGACACGGCCCAGACUCCUACGGGAGGCAGCAGUGGGGAAUUUUGGACAAUGGGGGCAACCCUGAUCCAGCAAUGCCGCGUGAGUGAAGAAGUCCUUCGGGUUGUAAAGCUCUUUUGUCAGGGAAGAAACAGCAGCUCUAACACAGUCUGCGAAUGACGGUACCUGAAGAAUAAGCACCGGCUAACUACGUGCCAGCAGCCGCGGUAAUACGUAGGGUGCGAGCGUUAAUCGGAAUUACUGGGCGUAAAGCGUGCGCAGGCGGUUAUACAAGACAGGCGUGAAAUCCCCGGGCUUAACCUGGGAAUGGCGUCUGUGACUGUAUAGCUAGAGUGUGUCAGAGGGGGGUGGAAUUCCACGUGUAGCAGUGAAAUGCGUAGAUAUGUGGAGGAACACCAAUGGCGAAGGCAGCCCCCUGGGAUAACAC